RNAcentral lists this ribosomal RNA (543 nucleotides) under Colletotrichum gloeosporioides. RNAcentral's name for it is "eukaryotic LSU rRNA". The stretch from base 175 to 328 matches the Rfam family "5.8S ribosomal RNA". The record is from RNAcentral. Lineage: Eukaryota; Fungi; Ascomycota; Sordariomycetes; Glomerellales; Glomerellaceae.
GGGUUUUGGAGUUCGCUCUAUACCCUUUGUGACAUACCUAUAACUGUUGCUUCGGCGGGUAGGGUCUCCGCGACCCUCCCGGCCUCCCGCCUCCGGGCGGGUCGGCGCCCGCCGGAGGAUAACCAAACUCUGAUUUAACGACGUUUCUUCUGAGUGGUACAAGCAAAUAAUCAAAACUUUUAACAACGGAUCUCUUGGUUCUGGCAUCGAUGAAGAACGCAGCGAAAUGCGAUAAGUAAUGUGAAUUGCAGAAUUCAGUGAAUCAUCGAAUCUUUGAACGCACAUUGCGCCCGCCAGCAUUCUGGCGGGCAUGCCUGUUCGAGCGUCAUUUCAACCCUCAAGCUCUGCUUGGUGUUGGGGCCCUACAGCUGAUGUAGGCCCUCAAAGGUAGUGGCGGACCCUCCCGGAGCCUCCUUUGCGUAGUAACUUUACGUCUCGCACUGGGAUCCGGAGGGACCCGUAAAACCCCCCAAUUUUCCAAAGGUUGACCUCGGAUCAGGUAGGAAUACCCGCUGAACUUAAGCAUAUCAAUAAGCGGAGGAA